This 465-nucleotide ribosomal RNA is filed under the name Vreelandella stevensii. RNAcentral describes it as "partial 16S ribosomal RNA". It matches the Rfam family "Bacterial small subunit ribosomal RNA", at positions 338 to 795 of the family's 1533-position model. Lineage: Bacteria; Pseudomonadati; Pseudomonadota; Gammaproteobacteria; Oceanospirillales; Halomonadaceae. The record is from RNAcentral.
CCUACGGGCGGCAGCAGUGGGGAAUAUUGGACAAUGGGGGCAACCCUGAUCCAGCCAUGCCGCGUGUGUGAAGAAGGCCCUCGGGUUGUAAAGCACUUUCAGUGAGGAAGAACGCCUGGUGGUUAAUACCCAUCAGGAAAGACAUCACUCACAGAAGAAGCACCGGCUAACUCCGUGCCAGCAGCCGCGGUAAUACGGAGGGUGCGAGCGUUAAUCGGAAUUACUGGGCGUAAAGCGCGCGUAGGUGGCUUGAUAAGCCGGUUGUGAAAGCCCCGGGCUCAACCUGGGAACGGCAUCCGGAACUGUCAAGCUAGAGUGCAGGAGAGGAAGGUAGAAUUCCCGGUGUAGCGGUGAAAUGCGUAGAGAUCGGGAGGAAUACCAGUGGCGAAGGCGGCCUUCUGGACUGACACUGACACUGAGGUGCGAAAGCGUGGGUAGCAAACAGGAUUAGCUACCCUUGUAGUC